UCUCCGUUGGUGAACCAGCGGAGGGAUCAUUACCGAGUUUACAACUCCCAAACCCCUAUGUGAACGUUACCAAACUGUUGCCUCGGCGGGAAAUUCAUGCCCCGGGCGCGUCGCAGCCCCGGACUAAGGCGCCCGCCGGAGGACCAACCAAAACUCUUUUGUAUGUCCCUUGCGGACUUUUAUAAUUCUGAACCAUCUCGGCGCCCCUAGCGGGCGUUUCGAAAAUGAAUCAAAACUUUCAACAACGGAUCUCUUGGUUCUG
This 262-nucleotide unclassified non-coding RNA is filed under the name plant metagenome. Its description in RNAcentral is "partial contains small subunit ribosomal RNA, internal transcribed spacer 1, and 5.8S ribosomal RNA". The record is from RNAcentral.